GACGAGGUGGCCGAGUGGUUAAGGCGAUGGACUGCUAAUCCAUUGUGCUCUACACGCGUGGGUUCGAAUCCAAUCCUCGUCG
This is a non-coding RNA of Ciona savignyi (Pacific transparent sea squirt), 82 nucleotides long. The record is from Rfam. NCBI's taxonomy places the organism in Eukaryota, Metazoa, Chordata, Ascidiacea, Phlebobranchia, Cionidae.